AUAUUUUAACUGGGGAGCCUGUAGACAGGCUGAGAGUGGAAUGUGAUUCCAGACCCUCAUAACCUGAUUUGGAUAAUGCCAACGUAGGGAGAGUAGGUAGUUCAUAUU
RNAcentral lists this non-coding RNA (108 nucleotides) under Clostridium sp. RNAcentral describes it as "TPP sequence". It matches the Rfam family "TPP riboswitch aptamer (THI element)". From Rfam's summary of the family: Vitamin B(1) in its active form thiamin pyrophosphate (TPP) is an essential coenzyme that is synthesised by coupling of pyrimidine and thiazole moieties in bacteria. The previously detected thiamin-regulatory element, thi box was extended, resulting in a new, highly conserved RNA secondary structure, the THI element, which is widely distributed in eubacteria and also occurs in some archaea. Analysis of operon structures identified a large number of new candidate thiamin-regulated genes, mostly transporters, in various prokaryotic organisms. The record is from RNAcentral. Lineage: Bacteria; Bacillati; Bacillota; Clostridia; Eubacteriales; Clostridiaceae.